UGCUCUUCUAUCUACUGAGAUAAUGAAC
RNAcentral lists this small RNA (28 nucleotides) under Bombyx mori (domestic silkworm). RNAcentral describes it as "ovarian small RNA-34196". Lineage: Eukaryota; Metazoa; Arthropoda; Insecta; Lepidoptera; Bombycidae. The record is from RNAcentral.